UACGAAGGGGGCUAGCGUUGCUCGGAAUCACUGGGCGUAAAGCGCACGUAGGCGGAUCUUUAAGUCAGGGGUGAAAUCCUGGAGCUCAACUCCAGAACUGCCUUUGAUACUGGGGAUCUCGAGUCUGGAAGAGGUGAGUGGAACUCCGAGUGUAGAGGUGAAAUUCGUAGAUAUUCGGAAGAACACCAGUGGCGAAGGCGGCUCACUGGUCCGGUACUGACGCUGAGGUGCGAAAGCGUGGGGAGCAAACAGG
RNAcentral lists this ribosomal RNA (253 nucleotides) under uncultured bacterium. RNAcentral describes it as "partial 16S ribosomal RNA". It matches the Rfam family "Bacterial small subunit ribosomal RNA", at positions 524 to 776 of the family's 1533-position model. The record is from RNAcentral.